UACGUAGGUGGCAAGCGUUGUCCGGAAUUAUUGGGCGUAAAGCGCGCGCAGGCGGUCCUUUAAGUCUGAUGUGAAAGCCCACGGCUCAACCGUGGAGGGUCAUUGGAAACUGGAGGACUUGAGUGCAGGAGAGAAGAGUGGAAUUCCACGUGUAGCGGUGAAAUGCGUAGAGAUGUGGAGGAACACCAGUGGCGAAGGCGGCAUCCUGGCCCUGUCCGUGACG
RNAcentral lists this ribosomal RNA (223 nucleotides) under uncultured bacterium. RNAcentral describes it as "partial 16S ribosomal RNA". It matches the Rfam family "Bacterial small subunit ribosomal RNA", at positions 524 to 745 of the family's 1533-position model. The record is from RNAcentral.